Long non-coding RNA from Mytilus californianus (California mussel), 2154 nucleotides. RefSeq lists it as uncharacterized. Lineage: Eukaryota; Metazoa; Mollusca; Bivalvia; Mytilida; Mytilidae. The record is from RefSeq and is a predicted model, not a curated record. The transcript is spliced from 3 exons.
CCAAGUGAGCUUUUCUCAUCACUUGGCGUCCGUCGUCCGUCGUCGGCGUUAACUUUUUACAUUUUGAACUUCUUCUAGAGAACCACUGAAUGGAAUGAAACCAAACAUGGCAUGAAUGUUCCUUAUGAGGUGCUGACCAAGUGUUGUUACUUUGUAGCCGAUCCAUCAUCCAAGAUGGCCGCCAGCGGGGGACUUAGUUUAACAUAGGACCCUAUGGGAAAUGCAUACAAAUGACUUCUUUUAGAGAACCACUGAAUGGAAUGGAACCAAACAUGGCAUGAAUGUCCCUUAUGAGGUGCUGACCAAGUGUUGUUACUUUGCAGUCGGUCCAUCAUCCAAGAUGGCCGACAGCAGGGGACUUAGUUUAACAAAGGACCUAUGGGAAAUACAUACAAAUGUCUUCUUUUAGCGAACCACUGAAUGGAAUGAAACCAAACAUGGCAUGAAUGUUCCUUAUGAGGUGCUGACCAAGUGUUGUUACUUUGCAGUCGGUCCAUCAUCCAAGAUGGCCGACAGCAGGGGACUUAGUUUAACAAAGGACCUAUGGGAAAUACAUACAAAUGUCUUCUUUUAGCGAACCACUGAAUGGAAUGAAACCAAACAUGGCAUGAAUGUUCCUUAUGAGGUACUGACCAAGUGUUGUUACUUUGCAGUCGGUCCAUCAUCCAAGAUGGCCGCCAGCAGGGGACUUAGUUUAACAUAGGACCCUAUGGGAAAUACAUACAAAUGUCUUCUUUUAGAGAACCACUGAAUGGAAUGGAACCAAACAUGGCAUGAAUGUCCCUUAUGAGGUUCUGACCAAGUGUUGUUACUUUGUAGCCGAUUCAUCAUCCAAGAUGGCCGCCAGCAGGGGACUUAGUUUAACAUAGGACCCUAUGGGAAAUACAUACAAAUGUCUUCUUUUAGAGAACCACUGAAUAGAAUGAAACCAAACAUGGCAUGAAUGUUCCUUAUGAGGUGCUGACCAAGUGUUGUUACUUUGCAGUCGGUCCAUCAUCCAAGAUGGCCGACAGCAGGGGACUUAGUUUAACAAAGGACCUAUGGGAAAUACAUACAAAUGUCUCCUUUUAGCGAACCACUGAAUGGAAUGAAACCAAACAUGGCAUGAAUGUUCCUUAUGAGGUACUGACCAAGUGUUGUUACUUUGCAGUCGGUCUAUCAUCCAAGAUGGCCGACAGCAGGGGACUUAGUUUAACAAAGGACCUAUGGGAAAUACAUACAAAUGUCUUCUUUUAGAGAACCACUGAAUGGAAUGAAACCAAACAUGGCAUGAAUCUUCCUAAUGAGAUGCUGACCAAGUGUUGUUACUUUGUAGCCGAUCCAUCAUCCAAGAUGGCCGACAGCGGGGACUUAGUUUAACAUAGGACCCUAUGGGAAAUACAUACAAUUGUCUUCUUUUAGAGAACCACUGAAUGGAAUUGAACCAAACAUGGUAUGAAUGUUCCUUAUGAGUUGCUGACCAAGUGUUGUUACUUUGCAGUCGAUCCAUCAUCCAAGAUGGCCGCCAGCAGGGGGACUUAGUUUAACAUAGGACCCUAUGGGAAAUGCAUACAAAUGACUUCUUUUAGAGAACCACUGAAUGGAAUGAAACCAAACAUGGCAUGAAUGUUCCUUAUCAGGUGCUCACCAAGUGUUGUUACUUUGUAGCGGAUCCAUCAUCCAAGAUGGCCGCCAGCGGGGGACUUAGUUUAACAUAGGACCCUAUGGGAAAUGCAUACAAAUGACUUCUUUUAGAGAACCACUGAAUGGAAUAAAACCAAACAUGGCAUGAAUGUUCCUUAUGAGGUGCUGACCAAGUGUUGUUACUUUGUAGCCGAUCCAUCAUCCAAGAUGGCCGCCAUCGGGGAACUUAGUUUAACAUAGGACCCUAUGGGAAAUACAUACACAUGUCUUCUUUUAGAGUACCAGUGAAUGGAAUGAAACCAAACAUGGCAUGAAUGUUCCUUAUGAAGUGCUGACCAAGUGUUGCUACUUUGUUGCCGAUUUACUGUUCAAGAUGGCCACCAGGAUAUUUUAUUAAAUAACAGGACCAAUAUUAAUCAAAAUUUGGCCUCAAUCAUUAUUUGGGUAUCUGUUAUGAUUUUUAUCUAUCUUUACAUGAUUUCUAAAACCAAAGUAGAGUCAGGUGAGCGACACAGGCUCUUGAGAGCCUCU